CCUUGACAUACUAAGAACUUUCCAGAGAUGGAUUUGGUGCCUUCGGGAACUUAGAUACAGGUGCUGCAUGGCUGUCGUCAGCUCGUGUCGUGAGAUGUUGGGUUAAGUCCCGNAACGAGCGCAACCCUUUUCCUUAUUUGCCAGCGGGUCAUGCCGGGAACUUUAAGGAUACUGCCAGUGACAAACUGGAGGAAGGCGGGGACGACGUCAAGUCAUCAUGGCCCUUACGGCCAGGGCUACACACGUGCUACAAUGGUCGGUACAAAGGGUUGCUACCUCGCGAGAGGAUGCUAAUCUCAAAAAGCCGAUCGUAGUCCGGAUCGCAGUCUGCAACUCGACUGCGUGAAGUCGGAAUCGCUAGUAAUCGCGGAUCAGAAUGCCGCGGUGAAUACGUUCCCGGGCCUUGUACACACCGCCCGUCACACCAUGGGAGUUUGUUGCACCAGAAGUAGGUAGUCUAACCGCAAGGAGGACGCUUACCACGGUGUGGCCGAUGACUGGGGUGAAGUCGUAACAAGGUAGGCGUAGAUGA
This 532-nucleotide ribosomal RNA is filed under the name uncultured bacterium. Its description in RNAcentral is "bacterial SSU rRNA". It matches the Rfam family "Bacterial small subunit ribosomal RNA", at positions 979 to 1509 of the family's 1533-position model. The record is from RNAcentral.